UGCAUUCACUACUGUAAGUUGCUCUGGAUAAGAGUGUCUGCUAAAUGACUCAAA
Molecule: non-coding RNA, 54 nt
Organism: Salmo salar (Atlantic salmon)
Lineage: Eukaryota; Metazoa; Chordata; Actinopteri; Salmoniformes; Salmonidae
Source: Rfam